ACCGGCGCACGGGUGAGUAACACGUAUCCAACCUGCCGAUAACUCGGGGAUAGCCUUUCGAAAGAAAGAUUAAUAUCCGAUAGCAUAUCAAGAUCGCAUGAUCUUGAUAUUAAAGAAUUUCGGUUAUCGAUGGGGAUGCGUUCCAUUAGUUAGUUGGCGGGGUAACGGCCCACCAAGACGACGAUGGAUAGGGGUUCUGAGAGGAAGGUCCCCCACAUUGGAACUGAGACACGGUCCAAACUCCUACGGGAGGCAGCAG
RNAcentral lists this ribosomal RNA (259 nucleotides) under uncultured bacterium. RNAcentral describes it as "partial 16S ribosomal RNA". It matches the Rfam family "Bacterial small subunit ribosomal RNA", at positions 94 to 354 of the family's 1533-position model. The record is from RNAcentral.